This 30-nucleotide non-coding RNA is filed under the name Mus musculus (house mouse). The record is from RNAcentral. Lineage: Eukaryota; Metazoa; Chordata; Mammalia; Rodentia; Muridae.
UGAUAAUGAAGACUGAAAUCUUCCUAAAAA